UUUUAGUUUUGGGCUCUUUGAUGCUCUUGAAAAAUGUGCACCAAGGAGGGUAUAUACCAUCUGCAAGAUAGUACCCUUUUAUGUAUUCAUGCCCAUUGAUAGUGUAGUUGCAAGCAGGAGCAUCACCACUAGCAAGCCUAGCAAACAAAUGAGGCCGUUGCAACACACUGAUAUCAUUGAGAGUGACCAGCAUACCAAAGAAGCAAUGCCAAAUCCAUAAAUCCU
Molecule: ribosomal RNA, 225 nt
Filed under: Triticum aestivum (bread wheat)
Lineage: Eukaryota; Viridiplantae; Streptophyta; Magnoliopsida; Poales; Poaceae
Description: partial small subunit ribosomal RNA
Source: RNAcentral